RNAcentral lists this signal recognition particle RNA (273 nucleotides) under Alligator mississippiensis (American alligator). RNAcentral's name for it is "Metazoan signal recognition particle RNA". It matches the Rfam family "Metazoan signal recognition particle RNA". Rfam says of the family: The signal recognition particle (SRP) is a universally conserved ribonucleoprotein. It is involved in the co-translational targeting of proteins to membranes. The eukaryotic SRP consists of a 300-nucleotide 7S RNA and six proteins: SRPs 72, 68, 54, 19, 14, and 9. Lineage: Eukaryota; Metazoa; Chordata; Crocodylia; Alligatoridae. The record is from Rfam by way of RNAcentral.
GCUGGAUGUGGUGGCACACACCUGUAAUCCUAUGACUGGGAGGCGGAGGCUGGCGGAUUGCUUGAGCUCAGGAGUUCUGGGUUGUAGUGCGCUAUGCCAAUCGGGUGUCCGCACUAAGUUCGGCAUCAACAUGGCGAUCCCGGAGGUCACCAGGUUGUUUAAGGAGAGGUGAGACGGAGCAGGUCAAAACUCCCGUGCUGAUCAGUAGUGGGACCGCACCUGUGAAUAGCCCCUGCCGCCUAGCCUGGGCAACACAGUGGGACACAGUCUCUU